This 253-nucleotide ribosomal RNA is filed under the name uncultured bacterium. RNAcentral describes it as "partial 16S ribosomal RNA". It matches the Rfam family "Bacterial small subunit ribosomal RNA", at positions 524 to 776 of the family's 1533-position model. The record is from RNAcentral.
UACGGGGGGGGUAAGCGUUGUUCGGAAUUACUGGGCGUAAAGGGCUCGUAGGCGGCCAACUAAGUCAUACGUGAAAUCCCUCAGCUUAACUGGGGAACUGCGUGUGAUGCUGGAUGGCUUGGAUUUGGGAGAGGGAUGCGGAAUUCCAGGUGUAGCGGUGAAAUGCGUAGAUAUCUGGAGGAACACCGGUGGCGAAGGCGGCAUCCUGGACCAAUAUUGACGCUGAGGAGCGAAAGCCAGGGGAGCAAACGGG